UUUGGGGACCCCCCCCGGAUCGGGGCUGAUUUUGGGGAUCCCCCCUGGAUUGGGGCUGAUUUUGGGGACCCCCCCGGGGUCGGGGCUGAUUUUGGGGACCCCCCGGGGUCGGGGCUGAUUUUGGGGACCCCCCCCGGGGUCGGGGCUGAUUUUGGGGACCCCCCGGGAUCAUGGCUGAUUUUGGGGACCCCCCCCCGUGCCCCCCGGGAUCAUGGCUGAUUUUGGGGACCCCCCGGGGAUCGGGGCUGAUUUUGGGGACCCCCCCCGGGGUCGGGGCUGAUUUUGGGGACCCCCUGGCAGCGGGAGUCGUCGCGGCGCCUGGCGGAGACGCGGGCGCUGCUCCGGCGCAGCCGCGCGGCCGCCGAGGAGGCGCGGCGCAAGGAGAGCCUGCACGGCCAGCUGGUGGCCGAGCUGGCGGCGCUGCCCCGCGACGUUUCCCGCUCCGUUUACACCCAGCGCAUCCUGGAGAUCGUCGGCAACAUCCGCAAGCAGAAGGAGGAGAUCGGCAAGGUUUGGGGGGGAGGAGGAUUUUGGGGGGGCUCUGCGCACCCCCAAAUUAUCAGAGGGGGUUUUUUGGGGGGGAGGGGGUCGUGACCUCUCCCGGGGAUCCCCCAACCCCAGAUCCUGGAGGACACGCGGGCGCUGCAGAAGGAGAUCAACGCCCUGGUGGGGAAGCUGGAGAGGACCUUCAGCGUCACCGACGAGCUGCUCUUCAAGGUGGGGGGCUGGGGGGGGCACCCCAAAAAAAUAAAGCACCGGGGGGGGGGGGGGGGGGGGUCCGGCUGGGAUUUUGGGGGGCACGGGCUGGGGGAGGGGGGAGUUCAGUGGUACGGCCCGGACGGGAUGGCCCCGAAGGGGUGAGGGGGUGGGAGACCCCCAGAGUGUCACGGGUGCCCCCCAGAGUGUCACGGGUGCCCCCCAAAUUGUCACGGGUGCCCCCAGAUUGUCACGGGUGCCCCCCAAAUUGUCAUGUGUGCCCCCCAAAUUGUCAUGUGUGCCCCCCAAAUUGUCAUGUGUGCCCCCAAACUCUCCCUGCCCCCCAAACUCUCCCUGUGCCCCCCAGUGUCCCUGUA
RNAcentral lists this long non-coding RNA (1073 nucleotides) under Lonchura striata (white-rumped munia). Its description in RNAcentral is "domestica (Bengalese finch) lncRNA (ENSLSDG00000006152.1)". Lineage: Eukaryota; Metazoa; Chordata; Aves; Passeriformes; Estrildidae. The record is from RNAcentral.